Molecule: long non-coding RNA, 2300 nt
Organism: Egretta garzetta (little egret)
Lineage: Eukaryota; Metazoa; Chordata; Aves; Pelecaniformes; Ardeidae
Exons: 4
Source: RefSeq, a predicted model, not a curated record
AGAGUCCUUCCUUGCUAGUGUUGUCCUGAAGCCCAGGACAUCACUUACCCUGAUGGUGUUUUUCGUCCCAGCCGUCCCAGAUGCGGGCGCAAAGCGGUUGCAAAGCAAAGGGACGCACGCGCGCAGGGAUUUCUUGCGCUGCCUCGAGCAUCUCCCCGCAGUUCACGUUGCCGCAGGCGGUGGUGCACCAUUGGGGACCCCGUUGCUGCCCAGCCCCUCACUGCAGACCCCGGGUUUUGCUGGAGGCUGCUGCUCGCCGAGGAUCCAGGUACUGUUCACGUCCUCCACGAGCAUGAAGCUCUGCUGGGGCAGAGGCACAGACCCACUGCCGUGACGCAGAACCCUGCAGGAGCCAGGGGACAUUUUUCCCUUUCUCCCGUUCCGUUGUUCAGCCUGAGUGCCCCAAAUUCUGCAGGGGGCAGGUACAGUUACCUGCUUCGAGGCCUCAUCCUGGCUCUCACCUCCUUGCCCAGCCUCUGCCCGCCUUGCCAGCACGUCCUCUGCCUCCUGAGCUCAGACAAUUGUCAGCCUGAUUCAUGAAAAGCCCCAGUUUCCAAUAAUCUCCCGUCCUCAGCAUCUGCCGCCCUGUCAUGGUCUCUGACCCUCAUCUCCAACUAAUAUUGAAAUACUGAGUAAUUAAAUUCCUGUUUUCUCCCUAGUAGGUUUGUCCUUUCAGAUGCUUCUGCCUCUAAUUUGAAGGCAAGGCUGCCACGGGUCUCCCCAGCACCAGUUUGCAAAGCUGGGUUUGUCCUGCCUGGAUCCGGUCCCAGCAGCAGCAUCUGCGGGAGCUGCUGGGAUCUGCCGUCCCUCCGGAGCUGCUGCCACAGCAUCUCCCGGGGCUGCCACCAACGGCACCUUUGCUUGAAACCAGUAAUUAAUUUGCAAUGUUGGAAGCAAAACUUCCUAGUGGAGAAGUUUAAUUUCCCUUUGAUUACAUGGUGCGUGUUGCUCGGUGUCUUUGGUGCUUCAGGUGCAGCCACCAGCCUUGCCCCAUCCGUUCCUCCGUGUUUCUUUUUGGAGUUGCAAAAAAGAAAUAAAAUCAAUGAAAAGAAGAAGAUGCCCUGGCUUGGCUCACUGGUGCCGGGUGCAGGGAUGGCAAGUAAUGGCCAAGAACGAGUCGUGUUCCAGACGCAGAGAAGGGUCUUGUUUGUGGACAUGCCCUUCAAAAAACCUCCUGGAGGAGACCAAAAUGCAAGAGCAGGGUGGACCAUACCCCUCCGGGCGCUGCAGCGCUGGCUCGGGGGUGCCGGGGGGUGCAGGGGCCAUGCUCAGCCCUGGGCACCCACAGCAGCAGACGUGGGCAGCCCAUGUCCUUGGACCCAGCUCAGGAUGGGAGUCCCACCCUGGAAAGGUUGGAGAUGGGGAAGAAGAGCAGCCUGGAUGGAUGGGAUGGGCAGAUGAAAGUGAGGAUGAGGAGGGAGGGGCAGGCGAGGGAGAGGGGGCUCUCCAUCCAGCAUCUGAUGAGUUUUUCUUUACCGUUGCUCAGCAUUUGAUGGAUGAUGCUCCGCUGUGAAACGCGCUGUAAUUACUCAGCGGGACAGCAGGGAUUCAUCAGCGGUGAUCAAUAUUCACAGCAUCCAUCGUGCCCGCGGGCAGCCCGACCCACUGCACACGCAGGGGCUGGCACAGACCCACGACCCGCAACGCCGUGUGUGUCCCCACAGACCCCCAGCCCCAUCCCAACCCUUGGGUGCCAUUUGGGGCGAAGCCGUGUACGCCCACAGCAGUCAGGGACCAUGCAUGGGGCUAACGAUGGCGCGAGUGGUUUUGGCACGCGUUGGCGUGUGUGCACACGUACAGGUGCCUAAAAAAGGGAAACAUUAAAACUUCCAGCAUUCUCCUCUUUCACAACCUGGAUCCCUUUUUCUCCCAGUGCUUCACAGCUCCUCCCCAGAGCUUGCACCCAAGGGGCUGGGAAUGGGCAUCUCUUGGCACUUCCCAUGGGAAAAGCACCCUGCAACGGCCGCACCGUCAGCUCCCGGGCAGCAGCGGGUGUGUGGGGAGUCGGCGAGGAGCCAGCUCCAAAACUCGCUGUUCCCAAGCGCAGUUUCAGUGCCCUCGAGUCCGCAGUCCCUGACUGAGGGGUGCACCGAUGCCACGCUGAUGUUAAACUGACACCGUCAAGUGAUUCAGGUCCUGCAUUUAUUGCAGCCCGGUUUAGGAAAGGGAAAAGGGAUUAUUAUUUUUUUUUUCUGAGCAUGCCUGGAAUUUUCAUUCCCCCUCAUUUAUUUAUUCCGUUCUGUCAUUCUGUGGCAAUGGUUAUGAGCAUUUUUUCUUUUAGUGGAGACGUUUUGCAGCGU